GCCGCGCCGGGCACCGCGCGGGUAGGAGCUGGAGGGCCGGCCGCGGCGUGAAGGCCUCCCCGGCCGGGUCGCGACUCGCGGCGGCUCCUGCCAGCCCUCCUGCUGGGCACGUCCUGGAGGGGCCGCGGCCCGGGCUGCAGACCCCUGCCCCACCUGCGCGGCCGCGGCGUGGACGCCGGGUCAGCGAAGGGUUAAGGAGCUCGCCCCCUCCUCUCUGCUCCCUCACCCUUGGAAAGUCCCCUAAGUGACGUUUCCACCCGACAAUUAAAAGAAGAGUUUAAUUAUAGAGACGGGCUCUGGGAGCUGGAACCAACCCGGGCGGUCGGCCGGGCCGGUAAACAACUCGCAGCGAGCUGGACGGGCCGGCCGCCGCCCGCGGAGCCCGCGCCCGAGAGCGGGGGAGGGGAGCCCGCCGCGAGUUGGACAAGCCGAGAAAAUUCGAGGAAUCGUUUUUCUGUUUGAUAAAAACGACAUUUUAGCCAGCCCGGGGCGCCGGGGCCCCGCGAUGGUGUUCCUCGCCCAACCCACGGCCGCGGGAGGACAGCGGCGCCGCCCGGAGCACGCGGACAGUCCGCGCCCCAUGGGGACCGGCCCUGGGCCGGGAAGACGGCCCUGCCAGCCCCCGGUCCCCUUCCCCCUCGCUUCUCCACUCCCCUCCCGGAUCCCCCCAGCUGAGCUUCGCGAACACUCCUGAGUUAGAUCCCGGCCUUUGGGGGUGGGGGGAUAAAAAAAAAAAAAAAACCAACGAAAUAACUUCACAUCAGGACUCAGACGAACCUUGUGGUUUUAACGCGCACCCUGCUCUGUCCCGAAAUCUGGAACUCAUUACCUCAUCACCAAGCAACUGCACUAAAUGUCCCCCCCCCGCCCCACGCGCACACUUGUUGGAGCCGAGGAGAGGAACGAGCAAACAUCCCCUUAAGAAAGAAACUUAUACACGCGAGUGAUUUAAAUUAAGGUGGAUGGAAGUUAUUUCCCUUUCUGGCGCUUGCCAGAUUUCAAGAAAAGAUGAAAAAUGGGAGCUGGGGGGGGGUAGUGUGGAGAAGCAACAGGCGGCUGGACAGCAACGGCAGAAAAAGGGGCAGCAGCGUGAUUAAAAAUGGGGGCCAUCGAUUCAAGUCAGAGGAGGCAUAAAUAAAAGCAGGACCCGUUGUGAAUCACGAAAGUUCGUGGCUGCAACAGAAGUUGGGUGUUUCGCAAAGUUGGAAAAACAAUUGGUUCCUAAAACAGUUGUGAUUUGGAAGGUUUCCCUGGGUUUGCCCAGUGGUUGACGAAUAAAUAAGAAAUGCAGUAGCGGUUGUGUGCGUGUGUGCAUGUGUGUGUUUGCGUGUGUGGAUGUGUGUGUGAGUGUGUGCAUGUGCGUGUGUGCAUGUGUGUGUGUGCUUGUGUGCGCGCGCGCGCGCGUGUGUGUGUCUGUGUGUGUUGGGGGGUGCGACUCGAGCGCUGUGCACCGCCCGUCCCAUCCUUUCCAAAGAAACGUGCCCAUAAUGGGGUGACCUAAUUACAUUGCAAUGGAACUCGCUCGCAGCCACUAGGCUCGCGGGGUUUCGUAACCGACCCGGCGGCCUCCAGUGCUGGGAAGAAACGUGCGAGGGCCGAGGAGGCGGCCCUACCCGCGAUUUCCGCUUAGGUCUUCACUCCAGGGCCAAGGCGCGGGGAGCGGGUGGGGGACACGUUAACAACUUUGUAUUUGGGAGAACGAGAGGUGGGGGAUUCGAACUUAAUAAGAAAUAAACAUAUAUCGUUUUAAAAAGAGU
RNAcentral lists this long non-coding RNA (1757 nucleotides) under Marmota monax (woodchuck). The record is from RNAcentral. Lineage: Eukaryota; Metazoa; Chordata; Mammalia; Rodentia; Sciuridae.